This 434-nucleotide ribosomal RNA is filed under the name uncultured bacterium. RNAcentral describes it as "partial 16S ribosomal RNA". It matches the Rfam family "Bacterial small subunit ribosomal RNA", at positions 29 to 507 of the family's 1533-position model. The record is from RNAcentral.
AGCGAACGCUGGCGGCAGGCUUAACACAUGCAAGUCGAACGAACACUUCCGGGUUAGUGGCGGACGGGGGAGAACCACGUGGGAACGCGCCUUUAGGUUCGCAAUCAUUCAGGGUAACUUGUCCUAAUACUGAAUGUGCCCUUCGCGGGUAUGAUUAAUAGCCGUUAGAGCGGCGAGGGUCCGAUUAGCUAGUUGGUUAGGGUAAUGGCUCAUCAAGGCGUGGAUCAGUAGCUGGUCAGAGAGUAUGAUCUGCCACGUUUGAACUAAGACACAGCCCACACUCCUACGGAAGGGAGGAGAGGAUAAUCUAGCGCAAUGGAGGAAAGCCUGACGCAGCCAUGCCGCGGAAAUGAUGAAGGUCGUAGUAAAGUGAAAUUCUUUCACCGGAGACGAUAAUGACGGUACCCGGAGAAGAAGCCCCGGCUAACUACGUG